GGAUGAACGCUGGCGGCGUGCCUAAUACAUGCAAGUAGAACGCUGAAGGAAGGAGCUUGCUCUUUCCGGAUGAGUUGCGAACGGGUGAGUAACGCGUAGGUAACCUGCCUGGUAGCGGGGGAUAACUAUUGGAAACGAUAGCUAAUACCGCAUAACAGUAGAUGUUGCAUGAUAUCUACUUAAAAGGUGCAAUUGCACCACUACCAGAUGGACCUGCGUUGUAUUAGCUAGUUGGUGAGGUAACGGCUCACCAAGGCGACGAUACAUAGCCGACCUGAGAGGGUGAUCGGCCACACUGGGACUGAGACACGGCCCAGACUCCUACGGGAGGCAGCAGUAGGGAAUCUUCGGCAAUGGACGGAAGUCUGACCGAGCAACGCCGCGUGAGUGAAGAAGGUUUUCGGAUCGUAAAGCUCUGUUGUAAGAGAAGAACGAGUGUGAGAGUGGAAAGUUCACACUGUGACGGUAUCUUACCAGAAAGGGACGGCUAACUACGUG
Molecule: ribosomal RNA, 498 nt
Filed under: uncultured bacterium
Lineage: Bacteria
Description: partial 16S ribosomal RNA
Rfam family: Bacterial small subunit ribosomal RNA
Source: RNAcentral